This 357-nucleotide long non-coding RNA is filed under the name Oryza brachyantha (malo sina). RNAcentral describes it as "long non-coding RNA (OBRA_LNC001961)". Lineage: Eukaryota; Viridiplantae; Streptophyta; Magnoliopsida; Poales; Poaceae. The record is from RNAcentral.
CUGAAGAAUACAAGAUAGUAGGUAUUGCUUUCCUGCUAAUUAUGGCCUCACACCAAUUAGAAUGAGAGCCCAAGAUGCUAGACAAUUCAUGACAAACUAGUUGGUCGACGAUAAAAUGUUGGUGAAACAGAAUACCCUGGGGGCCGGCACAUAUGGCUGCUUGAGUUCAACAGAACAUUCUUUCUAGUAUGCACGAUCAGCUCAAAAUCGACGAUAUCUCUGAGAAGAUAAAUUUCUUGACGAUUCUAGAUAAAUUUCUUGAUGAUUCUCAGUCCUAACCGGUAAGACCCAAUUUGGGUAUCAAAUUAAGAUCGCUACUACAUACUUCAGAUUUUCAAUGAAAAUUCUCAGUGUACG